GGCGAACGCUGGCGGCGUGCUUAACACAUGCAAGUCGAACGGAAAGGCCUCUUUCGGGGGGUACUCGAGUGGCGAACGGGUGAGUAACACGUGAGUAACCUGCCCUUGACUUUGGGAUAACUUCAGGAAACUGGGGCUAAUACCGGAUAGGAGCUCCUGCUGCAUGGUGGGGGUUGGAAAGUUUCGGCGGUUGGGGAUGGACUCGCGGCUUAUCCGCUUGUUGGUGGGGUAGUGGCUUACCAAGGCCUUGACGGGUAGCCGGCCUGAGAGGGUGACCGGCCACAUUGGGACUGAGAUACGGCCCAGACUCCUACGGGAGGCAGCAGUGGGGAAUAUUGCACAAGGGGUGGAAGCCUGAUGCAGCAACGCCGUGGGCGGGAUGACGGCCUUCGGGUUGUAAACCGCUUUCGCUCAUGACGAAGCUUUGUGUGACGGUAGUGGGUAAAGAAGCACCGGCUAACUACGUG
Molecule: ribosomal RNA, 467 nt
Filed under: uncultured bacterium
Lineage: Bacteria
Description: partial 16S ribosomal RNA
Rfam family: Bacterial small subunit ribosomal RNA
Source: RNAcentral